RNAcentral lists this ribosomal RNA (305 nucleotides) under uncultured bacterium. Its description in RNAcentral is "bacterial SSU rRNA". It matches the Rfam family "Bacterial small subunit ribosomal RNA", at positions 331 to 655 of the family's 1533-position model. The record is from RNAcentral.
UGGGACCUACGGGAGGCAGCAGUGGGGAAUAUUGCACAAUGGAGGAAACCCUGAUGCAGCGACGCCGCGUGAGUGAAGAAGUAUUUCGGUAUGUAAAGCUCUAUCAGCAGGGAAGAAAAUGACGGUACCUGACUAAGAAGCCCCGGCUAACUACGUGCCAGCAGCCGCGGUAAUACGUAGGGGGCAAGCGUUAUCCGGAUUUACUGGGUGUAAAGGGAGCGUAGACGGCGCGGCAAGUCUGAAGUGAGAGGCAGGGGCUUAACCCCUGAACUGCUUUGGAAAAUGCCAUGCUAGAGUGCUGGAGG